AGAGUUUGAUCAUGGCUCAGGAUGAACGCUAGCUACAGGCUUAACACAUGCAAGUCGAGGGGAAACGAUAUUGGAAGCUUGCUUCCGAUAGGCGUCGACCGGCGUACGGGUGAGUAACGCGUAUCCAACCUGCCCACCACUUGGGGAUAACCUUGCGAAAGUAAGACUAAUACCCAAUGACGUCUCUAGAAGACAUCUGAAAGAGAUUAAAGAUUUAUCGGUGAUGGAUGGGGAUGCGUCUGACUAGCUUGUUGGCGGGGUAACGGCCCACCAAGGCGACGAUCAGUAGGGGUUCUGAGAGGAAGGCCCCCCACCAUUGGAACUGAGACACGAUCCAAACUCCUACGGGAGGCAGCA
This 357-nucleotide ribosomal RNA is filed under the name uncultured bacterium. Its description in RNAcentral is "bacterial SSU rRNA". It matches the Rfam family "Bacterial small subunit ribosomal RNA", at positions 8 to 353 of the family's 1533-position model. The record is from RNAcentral.